AUGUUACUUUUACUUGCAUUUUUCAUCUGUGCGUUAGAUAUAUGUGCGAAAUCAGAAGAAAAAAGUUUUGAUGCAAAGACACCAUGUAAGACGAAUAAAGAAUGUCAACCAUAUUGUGUAAUUGGAUCUGGAAUAUGUGACCUGGGAAGGUGUUGGUGCUUUCUUCCACCAUCUUCUGCCGACAGUAUUCCUACUAUAAUACCUCCAAAUUGA
This is a non-coding RNA of Vicia faba (fava bean), 213 nucleotides long. The record is from the annotation of a GenBank genome assembly. NCBI's taxonomy places the organism in Eukaryota, Viridiplantae, Streptophyta, Magnoliopsida, Fabales, Fabaceae.